RNAcentral lists this transfer RNA (109 nucleotides) under Elsinoe australis. RNAcentral describes it as "tRNA-Leu". It matches the Rfam family "tRNA", at positions 5 to 66 of the family's 71-position model. From Rfam's summary of the family: Transfer RNA (tRNA) molecules are approximately 80 nucleotides in length. Lineage: Eukaryota; Fungi; Ascomycota; Dothideomycetes; Myriangiales; Elsinoaceae. The record is from RNAcentral.
CUCCAGAUGGCCGAGUGGUUAUGGCGUGUGACUCAAGCGUUUUCGCUUCUCAGUACAACUGGGUUUCUCAUGGGCUUUGCCCGCGGGGGUUCGAAUCCCCCUCUUGUCA